Molecule: unclassified non-coding RNA, 262 nt
Filed under: Hevea brasiliensis (rubber tree)
Lineage: Eukaryota; Viridiplantae; Streptophyta; Magnoliopsida; Malpighiales; Euphorbiaceae
Source: RNAcentral
CUAAUGGAGGUCCAGUGCAAUCCGUUGCAAAUUUAGCAAAAGGUCAAGACAAAGGAAAUGCAGUCUCAAUCCAAGCAGUGAAAUUAAGAGAAAACAACAUGUGGAUCCUUCAAGAUACAAGCACCAAUGCUUAUGAAUCCGCAGUGGUUUAUGCCCCAGUGGACAUUGCAGGCAUGCAAUCUGUUAUAACAGGUUGUGACUCUAGUAAUAUUGCUGCGUUACCUUCGGGAUUCUCGAUCCUCCCUGAUGGUCUAGAGUCGAG